UGGACAAUGGGCCGCAAGCCUGAUCCAGCAAUGCCGCGUGCAGGAAGAAGGCCUUCGGGUUGUAAACUGCUUUUGUACGGAACGAAACGGUCCGGGUUAAUACCCUGGGCUAAUGACGGUACCGUAAGAAUAAGCACCGGCUAACUACGUGCCAGCAGCCGCGGUAAUACGUAGGGUGCAAGCGUUAAUCGGAAUUACUGGGCGUAAAGCGUGCGCAGGCGGUUUUGUAAGACAGGCGUGAAAUCCCCGGGCUCAACCUGGGAAUUGCGCUUGUGACUGCAAAGCUGGAGUGCGGCAGAGGGGGAUGGAAUUCCGCGUGUAGCAGUGAAAUGCGUAGAUAUGCGGAGGAACACCGAUGGCGAAGGCAAUCCCCUGGGCCUGCACUGACGCUCAUGCACGAAAGCGUGGGGAGCAAACAGGAUUAGAUACCCUGGUAGUCCACGCCCUAAACGAUGUCAACUGGUUGUUGGGUCUCUUCUGACUCAGUAACGAAGCUAACGCGUGAAGUUGACCGCCUGGGGAGUACGGCCGCAAGGUUGAAACUCAAAGGA
RNAcentral lists this ribosomal RNA (551 nucleotides) under uncultured beta proteobacterium. RNAcentral describes it as "bacterial SSU rRNA". It matches the Rfam family "Bacterial small subunit ribosomal RNA", at positions 365 to 908 of the family's 1533-position model. Lineage: Bacteria; Pseudomonadati; Pseudomonadota; Betaproteobacteria. The record is from RNAcentral.